RNAcentral lists this ribosomal RNA (492 nucleotides) under bacterium PN29. RNAcentral's name for it is "bacterial SSU rRNA". It matches the Rfam family "Bacterial small subunit ribosomal RNA", at positions 13 to 490 of the family's 1533-position model. The record is from RNAcentral.
UUGAUCCUGGCUCAGAUUGAACGCUGGCGGCAUGCCUUACACAUGCAAGUCGAACGGCAGCACGGGAGCAAUCCUGGUGGCGAGUGGCGAACGGGUGAGUAAUACAUCGGAACGUGUCCUGUAGUGGGGAUAGCCCGGCGAAAGCCGGAUUAAUACCGCAUACGCUCUACGGAGGAAAGGGGGGGAUCUUAGGACCUCCCGCUACAGGGGCGGCCGAUGGCAGAUUAGCUAGUUGGUGGGGUAAAGGCCUACCAAGGCGACGAUCUGUAGCUGGUCUGAGAGGACGACCAGCCACACUGGGCACCUGAGACACGGCCCAGACUCCUACGGGAGGCAGCAGUGGGGAAUUUUGGACAAUGGGGGAAACCCUGAUCCAGCAAUGCCGCGUGUGUGAAGAAGGCCUUCGGGUUGUAAAGCACUUUUGUCCCGCCCAAAGAAAAUCCUCCGGGUUNUAAAACUCCCGCGGGGGAGUUAUGGCACUCGGCCAGAAAC